AGGAGGAGGAAAAUCGUCUCCGGGAAGAGCUGCGGCAGGAGUGGGAAGCCAAGCAGGAGAAGAUUAAGAGUGAAGAGAUUGAAAUCACCUUCAGUUACUGGGAUGGCUCUGGACACCGGCGGACAGUCAAAAUGAAAAAGGGCAAUACAAUGCAGCAGUUCCUCCAGAAGGCACUUGAGAUCCUGCGUAAAGACUUCAGUGAGCUCAGGUCAGCAGGGGUGGAGCAGCUCAUGUACAUCAAGGAGGACUUAAUCAUUCCCCAUCAUCACAGUUUCUAUGACUUCAUCGUUACCAAGGCACGUGGGAAGAGUGGUGAGUGAGCCUAGCCUAGUCCCUCUCACAAUUUGGC
Non-coding RNA from Urocitellus parryii (Arctic ground squirrel), 349 nucleotides. Lineage: Eukaryota; Metazoa; Chordata; Mammalia; Rodentia; Sciuridae. The record is from RefSeq and is a predicted model, not a curated record.